UUAAUUAUAAAUGCCCAACUGCCCAACAAUAGCAUAUUUCAAUAAAAUGGCUAAGAAAAUGCAAAAUAAAAAAUUGUAUGUUCCAAAGAACUUUUUUUAUGAAAAUCAAGGCACUUGCAGUUUUGUACUUAAGUUCUUUAAUAAUUUUAAUUUUAAUAUGCAAAAUGUGAUGCAACCAAAAAGAAGCUUAUUAGUUAAAAUGUAAAAAAAAAGAAAUGUUUUUAGGUUUAAACUUGAGGCGGAUUUGUCUUGAGCAAAAUCUUUAUGUAUAAAUUCUACACUAUUUUUAGCCGUGUUCAGAAAUUCAUUUGAAAAGUACGAUUUGCGAAAUUGUUUCCAAGUUUUUUUUUUAUUAAAAGUUUCAAAAUCGUAUUUGACUACGAUUUACACUGGCGUUCAAAACAAAUGCAAUUACAUUUCACGACUUUUUCGGAACUACCUCAAUACUAUUUUGGGACUCUAUUCAUAUAUCAUUUCGGAGUACUUCGGAACUAGUUACGCAAUGAUGACUUUUUGACAAUUUAAUGACCUAAAUGUUUCACCAAUACGAAGCUGUCGUUUGACAGUUGUAGUUUGUAGUUUUGACCAUUUAUUUUUUUUUUAAAUUUUUUACAAAAAUAUAAUUUGUAUCAGAACGAAAGGUUUUAAACUUUGAGUUAUGUAGUUUUUGCUGUGGUAUAACCUAUGUAUAUUUUUGUAAAAAAAAAUGUAUUAAAAAGAAAUGGUCGAAACUUCUAAAGAUGUGGUGUCCUCUAUUAUGUGGCCGCCACGGUGUAUAGGAGUACAUAUGUACAUAUGUAUGUAACAUGAUAAGUAUUUCUUUAAAAGGUUUCAAAUUAAGUCUCUGACUUGAAGUCGCAUAAUCCUUCGUUCAACUCUAUUUGAUACUUCUUACGAGUAUUACUUAAAAAAAUGCAUUUUACAAAACUACUGCUCAAAAAUAUAUUCAAACUUUUUUGUUUUAACUUCUCUGCAUUCAGUUUAAAUAAUUUAUUCUAGCUUUUAGUUCAACUUUCCGUAUUACAAAAAUGUUUCAAUAUCUUGAAACAUAAUAAUAAAUAAUAGCCUUUGGCAAAAGCUU
Rhagoletis zephyria (snowberry fruit fly) is the source of this 1081-nucleotide long non-coding RNA. RefSeq lists it as uncharacterized. The record is from RefSeq and is a predicted model, not a curated record. Lineage: Eukaryota; Metazoa; Arthropoda; Insecta; Diptera; Tephritidae.